GCGGACGGGUGAGGAAUGCAUCGGAAUCUACUCUGUCGUGGGGGAUAACGUAGGGAAACUUACGCUAAUACCGCAUACGACCUACGGGUGAAAGCAGGGGAUCUUCGGACCUUGCGCGAUUGAAUGAGCCGAUGCCCGAUUAGCUAGUUGGCGGGGUAAGAGCCCACCAAGGCGACGAUCGGUAGCUGGUCUGAGAGGAUGAUCAGCCACACUGGAACUGAGACACGGUCCAGACUCCUACGGGAGGCAGCAGUGGGGAAUAUUGGACAAUGGGCGCAAGCCUGAUCCAGCCAUACCGCGUGGGUGAAGAAGGCCUUCGGGUUGUAAAGCCCUUUUGUUGGGAAAGAAAAGCAUUCGGUUAAUACCCGAUUGUUCUGACGGUACCCAAAGAAUAAGCACCGGCUAACUUCGUGCCAGCAGCCGCGGUAAUACGAAGGGUGCAAGCGUUACUCGGAAUUACUGGGCGUAAAGCGUGCGUAGGUGGUUGUUUAAGUCUGUCGUGAAAGCCCUGGGCUCAACCUGGGAAUUGCGAUGGAAACUGGGCGACUAGAGUGUGGCAGAGGGUAGUGGAAUUCCUGGUGUAGCAGUGAAAUGCGUAGAGAUCAGGAGGAACAUCCGUGGCGAAGGCGACUGCCUGGGCCAACACUGACACUGAGGCACGAAAGCGUGGGGAGCAAACAGGAUUAGAUACCUGGUAGUCCACGCCCUAAACGAUGCGAACUGGAUGUU
RNAcentral lists this ribosomal RNA (729 nucleotides) under bacterium MS-AsIII-44. RNAcentral describes it as "bacterial SSU rRNA". It matches the Rfam family "Bacterial small subunit ribosomal RNA", at positions 98 to 824 of the family's 1533-position model. The record is from RNAcentral.